ACGCACGCUGGCGGCGUGCUUAACCCAUGCCAGUCGAACGUGAUUUUUGUGGAAAUUCUUUCGGGAAUGGAAAUGAAAUGAAAGUGGCGAACGGGUGAGUAACACGUGAGCAACCUACCUUACACAGGGGGAUAGCCGUUGGAAACGACGAUUAAUACCGCAUGAGACCACAGAAUCGCAUGAUAUAGGGGUCAAAGAUUUAUCGGUGUAAGAAGGGCUCGCGUCUGAUUAGCUAGUUGGAAGGGUAAAGGCCUACCAAGGCGACGAUCAGUAGCCGGUCUGAGAGGAUGAACGGCCACAUUGGAACUGAGACACGGUCCAAACUCCUACGGGAGGCAGCAGUGGGGAAUAUUGCACAAUGGGGGGAACCCUGAUGCAGCGACGCCGCGUGAGCGAAGAAGGUUUUCGAAUCGUAAAGCUCUGUCCUAUGAGAAGAUAAUGACGGUAUCAUAGGAGGAAGCCCCGGCUAAAUACGUG
Molecule: ribosomal RNA, 477 nt
Filed under: uncultured bacterium
Lineage: Bacteria
Description: partial 16S ribosomal RNA
Rfam family: Bacterial small subunit ribosomal RNA
Source: RNAcentral